AAUAUUGCGCAAUGGAGGGAACUCUGACGCAGCGACGCCGCGUGAGCGAUGAAGGUCUUCGGAUCGUAAAGCUCUGUCCUUGGGGAAGAAGGUCUUCGGACUUGACGGUACCUAAGGAGGAAGCCCCGGCUAACUACGUGCCAGCAGCCGCGGUAAUACGUAGGGGGCAAGCGUUGUCCGGAAUUAUUGGGCGUAAAGGGUGCGUAGGCGGCCUUUUAAGUCAGAUGUGAAAGCCCACGGCUUAACCGUGGGACUGCAUUUGAAACUGGAGGGCUUGAGUAUCAGAGAGGGUAGUGGAAUUCCCAGUGUAGCGGUGGAAUGCGUAGAUAUUGGGAGGAACACCAGUGGCGAAGGCGACUUGCUGGACAUUAACUGACGCUGAGGCGCGAAAGCGUGGGGAGCAAACA
RNAcentral lists this ribosomal RNA (407 nucleotides) under uncultured bacterium. RNAcentral's name for it is "partial 16S ribosomal RNA". It matches the Rfam family "Bacterial small subunit ribosomal RNA", at positions 360 to 774 of the family's 1533-position model. The record is from RNAcentral.